Long non-coding RNA from Galeopterus variegatus (Sunda flying lemur), 356 nucleotides. RefSeq lists it as uncharacterized. The transcript has 2 exons. The record is from RefSeq and is a predicted model, not a curated record. NCBI's taxonomy places the organism in Eukaryota, Metazoa, Chordata, Mammalia, Dermoptera, Cynocephalidae.
AAAAAUCAAGAUGACAGCACUAUUUCCACAGUGAGUCAAGUGACUGAUGUAAAACAUGUUAUGACACAAAAUAUUGAUACAAUUUUGGAAAGAGAAGAAACACUGAAUAUAUUCCUUGGUAGAACAGAUGAUCUCCAAACAACUGCCAAAGAAUUCCAAAAAACAAGAGAGAUUCCCAGGAGGAUAUGGUGGAACUACUUCAAAAAGAUUGUAAUUAUCACCAUGGCAAUUAUCCUUUCAGUCAUUAUCAUUCUUUUAAGUAUAAAUGUAAUACCAACCUGACCCUUUUCUUCCCACCCCCUACAGGUACCAAUAAAUUGUUUUACGUAAUUAUAGUGUUCUACAACCAACAACUA